UGGAUGUCCCGAAACUCAAGUGUGAGCUGGCAUGUGGGUGCUUGGAGCUGAGUCUGGGUCCUCUGUAAAAGCAGGUCUACUGCCCCUCAGGUAUCCGUGGAGCUGGCUGAGGCAGAGGAUGAGCUUGAAGUCCUGACCUCCAGCAUCCAUUUCGGGAAUGGCUCGGAUUACAAACCUGUUUCCCUCCACUACCUCAUUUUAGAUGGCCCUUGGUAGAAGCUGUACAGAUGAGAAUAACUGAUCUUGGACAUUCAUCUUCACAGAUUAUAAGGGAUGGGGCCCUAUGAAGUUUCCCCUAUCUGCAUUGGCACACCAGUGCUGUCAUUAUGAAGGUCUUGCUUGGGCAACCAUAUUGUUGAGAUUUCGUGAGUAUACCAUCCCUGUCACAUCUAGGAGACACUAUUUAGCAGCAGGUGUCCUGGCCCUAUGGCUUUUAGAGUCUUUUUGCCUCUCUCUUCUGUAAUGGUCCCUGAGCCUUAGGUAUGGAGGUUGUUGUGUAGAUGUCCCUACUGCAUUUGGGCAUCCCACAGUUACUUAUUCUUUGUACUGUCCAGUUGUUGAUCUCUGUAGGAGCCUCUGUCUGCUGCAAAAAGAGGCUUCUCUGAG
Molecule: long non-coding RNA, 606 nt
Filed under: Cricetulus griseus (Chinese hamster)
Lineage: Eukaryota; Metazoa; Chordata; Mammalia; Rodentia; Cricetidae
Description: lncRNA (ENSCGRG00015036408.1)
Source: RNAcentral